RNAcentral lists this ribosomal RNA (250 nucleotides) under uncultured prokaryote. RNAcentral describes it as "partial 16S ribosomal RNA". It matches the Rfam family "Bacterial small subunit ribosomal RNA", at positions 524 to 773 of the family's 1533-position model. The record is from RNAcentral.
UACGAAGGGGGCUAGCGUUGCUCGGAAUUACUGGGCGUAAAGCGCACGUAGGCGGACCGAUAAGUCGGGGGUGAAAUCCUGGAGCUCAACUCCAGAACUGCCUCCGAAACUGCCGGUCUUGAGUUCGGGAGAGGUGAGUGGAACUGCGAGUGUAGAGGUGAAAUUCGUAGAUAUUCGCAAGAACACCAGUGGCGAAGGCGGCUCACUGGCCCGAUACUGACGCUGAGGUGCGAAAGCGUGGGGAGCAAAC